RNAcentral lists this long non-coding RNA (2821 nucleotides) under Homo sapiens (human). RNAcentral describes it as "HSALNT0342544". The record is from RNAcentral. Lineage: Eukaryota; Metazoa; Chordata; Mammalia; Primates; Hominidae.
GAAUAUGAGCAGGCAUACAUGGAGGCAGAACGCAGGCACGCCACGGGCCUGAAGCAGGGCUGCCACACGCCACCAUUCGACAACUCAAGGGCACCAUUCAUUCAUGCAGGCUGUCCUGACAAAAUGCCAAGUUAGCAAAAUAAGAUCACACAGUCACUCUUCAUCACAGCUGGAGAAUCUGAAUUUACGAGUAUCUUGCAUCAAAACGCUGCCUCAGAGAGAACAGAAAGUGAAAAUACAGAUUCCUGAAAUCAUACAAUAAGAGGUGAAUAUUAUCUUCCUUCAUGAUCUUCAUUAUGAUUAAAGAUUAACUUUGUGAAAUAAUUCAUAAACCCAAUUAUCAAGAUAUUAUCAUUUAUAACAAAAUUAUAUCCUCCAAAGUGACUGAAAGACAUACAAUAUUUACUAUUUAUAUACCACAAUACUUUAGUCAUAUACUUGCACAGUCACAAAUUACUUAUUAAAAACUUGCAUCAGAUAAAUUGUGUUAUAUAUAUUUUACUACACAUACACACAAAGGCCCAUCAGUUUUCAAACCCCUUUUUUGCAACUAUUAAAGUUAGUCUAAAGAGUGCCACCCCAGCAAGCUACAAGGACAGUGAAUGGAAACAAAAUGCAAAAAAAUGCAACCACAGGAAUGCAGAACGGAGAGUGCAAGCAGAUAUAGGCAAGAUGAAGGUUAAAAACUUCUCUCAGCCUUGGGGCAAAAAUAUAGUAGACAUUCUCUGCCCCCCUGCCCCCUCCAGCCUCUUUAGACGAUGAAGCCACAGGACUAUGAGCUCCUGGUUUAAAAGGUCGGGAAGUCUUUGUUUUCCUGGGGUCCUUAGGUUUCUGUGUCUUUCUGAAGUGUUUAAGGUAAAGGUUUUCCACAAAGGUGGCAUCGCUAUCUAGAAGAUGUUUUCUAAAUUUGUGGGGGCAAUUUUGAUUGUCACGGUAAUUCAGAGGACACCCUUCCUUGGCUUUUGUCAGGCAAACUCCACAACAAUCCUGCACAACAAAGAACUGUCCUGCAACCUUCAACUUUUGUCCUGCAUAACUUUUAAAACAUCCCACUGGGCAUUCACAUUGGCAAAAAAAAGUCCAUUUAUAACCAUCUGGGCCUAAAUCCUAAUACAGCUCUUUAUAUACACUUGAUUCAUUUAUGCAGUUUUAAUAUACAUCAAAUUUUCUACAACACAAUGACAACAUCAAAUUUGGGUUUUGUUUCUUGCUUUGUUUGGAAUUUUACUAAUAGAUGUUCAUCAUUUCAGAAAACCAUGCGACUACUACAAUGCUCCUUAUGGUAUUUGGAUUCCUAGUACAAUGCUUUUUGAUCAGACUCCGUUUGCAGCUUUUAUAUUCAUAGAGCCUCCACAUCUAGGUGGGACAAUCUAACUACACUGUCUUCUUGAGUACAUGCUGAAACACAUACCUACUGAAAUACAUUUUACUUGCUAUAAAUUAUUUUAAUUUAUUUCUCCUUGAUAUUUUUGCUAGACAUUCUAUCAAUUUCUAAAUCGUGAGUAGACAGGUUGUAAGUCUAUGAUUUUCAUUUUCUGACAGUAAAUGGGGCAUAGGAUUGGACAGUUAAGAAGAUGGGUGCACCAAGCAAGUGGUAUGCAGUAAUUAAGCAAAGAAGCACAGAGAUCAGGUGUCCAACCCACUCAGACACGUGGAUUACGGCUGGAGGUGGGGCAGAGUAAGACGAAAUAUCGAUGCUCCUUCUGCUUUUACAAAGUGCCAACUUCAAAGACUUUCUUUAUAUUUACUAACCGAAUUCCUCAAAAUAUAACUGACACUUUAGAACAUGAAAGUAAUAGAAUGAUUAAAUUAGAAAAAAACAUAUUUUUGCUUGUGAAUGAACAUGAGUCUCCAGUUCUUAAUUCAUGAGGAUUUUACCAACAAUGCCCUCUUAGAAAAAGAGAGAAAAAUACAGUUUCAGCUAGAAAAAUCCUAAAAUGACUAAGUUUUUAUAAAACUACACAGAGAUUUGAGGCAGUAACAAUGUCAAGAAAAACGUUCCCAAAUACUUUCAGGAUUUUAAAUGUGGGCUCAGAGUUAAGUAGAAAGGAGUGGGAAACGCCACUGUCAAGACGAUAUAAAUUCACUUUCUGCUUCUCCAUACACAAAACUGUCUCUUUUAAGUCUGUACGGUCAGAUUCAUGCAAAGAGCAGAUUUAUGGAGACCAAUGUUCUGCUUGUAAGAGUAAACAAUCCAAACUAGGCUAAGAACACCGGAAAAGCUGGAAGCUGCAAAGAGUUCAAAUUGCUACAUGUCUAUAAAGUCACAACAAAACAGCUCCAGAGAAGGGUAAUUUGGGAGAAACAAAUGGGAAAAGGCAGGAGGGAGACUUUGAAAUGAAGAGCAACUGAGAGAAUAAUCAGGGAUGUGAUUAAGGUUGGCCUACUAAUAAGAGUACGGUUAUAGAAAAUACCCAUAUUCAAAGCCUUCCUCAUACAACUCCCAGAAUGAAGAUAUUCCUGCCAUUCCAGUCUCAGCUCAAAUAACCCCCUCUCAGGAAGCUUUUCCCUGAACACCCAGUUUAAAGUUGCCCCUCUUGUUCCUUUCCAUGGUAUCAUCCCGUUUCCUUUUCUCCAGAGCUGGCAAAAGAGACCUGUUUUAUGUUUAUUGUCUGUCUCCUCCUUCGCUACAUUAUAAGCUCCAUGAGGGCAGGGUCUUUCCUUGUCUGUCUGCUUCAUUACUGUAUCCCCAAGGCUUAGAACACUGCUGGCUACAAUAUAUAUUAGGUUCAAAAAUGCUGAAGCAAUAGUGCUAAUGAAAAAUAAUAUAAUAGGGGUGGCACCUAAAGAUCAUUUGGCCAGGCAUGGAGGCUCAUGCCUG